AACGCACCUUGCGCCCUUUGGCUAUUCCGAAGGGCAUGCCUGUUUGAGUAUCAUGAACAUCUCAACUCCUCACGGUUUGCCCGUGAUGAGCUUGGACUUUGGGGGUCUUGCUGGCCUGCAGGUCGGCUCCUCUCAAAUGAAUCAGCUUGCCAGUGUUUGGUGGCGUCACAGGUGUGAUAACUAUCUACGCUUGUGGUUUUCCGCCAGGUAACCUCCAGCAAAUGGAGGUUCACUGGAGCUCACAAACGUCUCUCCUCGGUGAGGACAGCUCUUUGAACGUUUGAUCUCAAAUCAGGUAGGACUACCCGCUGAACUUAA
Molecule: unclassified non-coding RNA, 318 nt
Filed under: uncultured Tomentella
Lineage: Eukaryota; Fungi; Basidiomycota; Agaricomycetes; Thelephorales; Thelephoraceae
Description: sequence contains ITS2
Source: RNAcentral